UACGGAAGGCAGCAGUGGGGAAUAUUGCACAAUGGGCGCAAGCCUGAUGCAGCCAUGCCGCGUGUAUGAAGAAGGCCUUCGGGUUGUAAAGUACUUUCAGUCGUGAGGAAGGUGUUAAGGUUAAUAACCUUAGCAAUUGACGUUAGCGACAGAAGAAGCACCGGCUAACUCCGUGCCAGCAGCCGCGGUAAUACGGAGGGUGCGAGCGUUAAUCGGAAUUACUGGGCGUAAAGGGCACGCAGGCGGUUAAUUAAGUUGGAUGUGAAAUCCCCGGGCUUAACCUGGGAAUGGCAUUCAAGACUGGUUAGCUAGAGUCUUGUAGAGGGGGUUAGAAUUCCAUGUGUAGCGGUGAAAUGCGUAGAGAUGUGGAGGAAUACCGGUGGCGAAGGCGGCCCCUGGGACAAAGGCUGACGCUCAUGUGCGAAAGCGUGGGGAGCAAACAGGGAUUAGAU
Molecule: ribosomal RNA, 452 nt
Filed under: uncultured bacterium
Lineage: Bacteria
Description: bacterial SSU rRNA
Rfam family: Bacterial small subunit ribosomal RNA
Source: RNAcentral